RNAcentral lists this long non-coding RNA (419 nucleotides) under Homo sapiens (human). RNAcentral's name for it is "non-protein coding lnc-SLC17A7-1:1". The record is from RNAcentral. Lineage: Eukaryota; Metazoa; Chordata; Mammalia; Primates; Hominidae.
AAGGAAUGAAGGAAGGAAAGAAAAAAGAAGAGAAAGAAGAGGAAGGAAGGAAAGAAAAGGCAGGCAGGCAAGCACAAUGUGUCUGCAAUGGGGUGAAUUGUGAGGGAGGGGGAGAAAAGACGGGGAAGAGGUCAGGGUGGGAGUGACUUCAGGUAGGGUCUUUCCGGCCGCGGAACGGAUGAGCGAACGUGGGCGCCGUGUCCACCAGAGGGCGCAACCUUUCCCUGCCCAUCGUCUCAGAGAACUACAUCUCCCAGCGGCCCUCGGAGUGCGCGGCCCUUCUCAAACGAGCGCUGAGGCUCAGAGGCCGCUGGGACUUGUGGUUGGGACGGUGAGCCGCUGGAGGGGGCCGAGUAACUCAUUCCCAGGUCCUGAAAAAGUGUGCGGCUGAGUCCUUUCCUCCUUCCUCGGUUUCCAUG